This 250-nucleotide ribosomal RNA is filed under the name uncultured bacterium. RNAcentral's name for it is "partial 16S ribosomal RNA". It matches the Rfam family "Bacterial small subunit ribosomal RNA", at positions 524 to 773 of the family's 1533-position model. The record is from RNAcentral.
GACGUAGGAGGCGAGCGUUAUCCGGAUUUACUGGGCGUAAAGCGCACGCAGGCGGCUUCGUUAGUCGGAUGUGAAAGCUCCUGGCUUAACCGGGAGAGGCCAUUCGAUACUGCGAGGCUUGAGGUUGGAAGAGGGGUGUGGAAUUCCCGGUGUAGUGGUGGAAUGCGUAGAUAUCGGGAGGAACACCUGUGGCGAAAGCGGCACCCUGGUCCACACCUGACGCUGAGGUGCGAAAGCGUGGGUAGCAAAC